UACACUCCUGCGGGAGGCAGCAGUGGGGAAUUUUGGACAAUGGGCGAAAGCCUGAUCCAGCAAUGCCGCGUGAGUGAAGAAGGCCUUCGGGUUGUAAAGCUCUUUUGUCAGGGAAGAAACGGUGAGAGCUAAUAUCUCUUGCUAAUGACGGUACCUGAAGAAUAAGCACCGGCUAACUACGUGCCAGCAGCCGCGGUAAUACGUAGGGUGCAAGCGUUAAUCGGAAUUACUGGGCGUAAAGCGUGCGCAGGCGGUUUUGUAAGUCUGAUGUGAAAUCCCCGGGCUCAACCUGGGAAUUGCAUUGGAGACUGCAAGGCUAGAAUCUGGCAGAGGGGGGUAGAAUUCCACGUGUAGCAGUGAAAUGCGUAGAUAUGUGGAGGAACACCGAUGGCGAAGGCAGCCCCCUGGGUCAAGAUUGACGCUCAUGCACGAAAGCGUGGGGAGCAAACAGGAUUAGAUACCCUGGUAGUCCCAUG
Molecule: ribosomal RNA, 476 nt
Filed under: uncultured organism
Description: partial 16S ribosomal RNA
Rfam family: Bacterial small subunit ribosomal RNA
Source: RNAcentral